UGCCAGCCGCCGCGGUAAUACGGAGUGUGCAAGCGUUACUCGGAAUCACUGGGCUUAAAGAGCACGUAGGCGGAAACCAUAGUCGGUUGUGAAAGCCCCCAGCUCAACUGGGGAAUGGCUGCCGAUACUGGGUUUCUUGAGGACGAGAGGGGAGAGCGGAACUUCUGGUGGAGCGGUGAAAUGCGUAGAUAUCAGAAGGAACAUCGGUGGCGAAAGCGGCUCUCUGGCUCGUUUCUGACGCUGAGGUGCGAAAGCUAGGGUAGCGAACGGGAUUAGAUA
RNAcentral lists this ribosomal RNA (279 nucleotides) under uncultured bacterium. RNAcentral describes it as "partial 16S ribosomal RNA". It matches the Rfam family "Bacterial small subunit ribosomal RNA", at positions 506 to 784 of the family's 1533-position model. The record is from RNAcentral.